Molecule: ribosomal RNA, 511 nt
Filed under: uncultured Oscillibacter sp.
Lineage: Bacteria; Bacillati; Bacillota; Clostridia; Eubacteriales; Oscillospiraceae
Description: bacterial SSU rRNA
Rfam family: Bacterial small subunit ribosomal RNA
Source: RNAcentral
UAAGUUUGUACUCCGUCGGCUCGAGGAUAGAACGCUGGCGGCGUGACUUAACACAUGACAAGUACAACGGAGCACCCCUGAAGGAGUUUUCGGACAACGGAAGGGAAUGCUUAGUGGCGGACGGGUGAGUAACGCGUGAGUAACCUGCCUUGGAGUGGGGAAUAACAGAUGGAAACAUCUGCUAAUACCGCAUGAAGCAGUUGGGCCGCAUGGCUCUGACUGCCAAAGAUUUAUCGCUCUGAGAUGGACUCGCGUCUGAUUAGCUAGUUGGCGGGGCAACGGCCCACCAAGGCGACGAUCAGUAGCCGGACUGAGAGGUUGGCCGGCCACAUUGGGACUGAGACACGGCCCAGACUCCUACGGGAGGCAGCAGUGGGGAAUAUUGGGCAAUGGGCGCAAGCCUGACCCAGCAACGUCGCGUGAAGGAAGAAGGCUUUCGGGUUGUAAACUUCUUUUCUCAGGGACGAAGAAAGUGACGGUACCUGAGGAAUAAGCCACGGCUAACUACGUG